This 465-nucleotide ribosomal RNA is filed under the name uncultured bacterium. RNAcentral's name for it is "partial 16S ribosomal RNA". It matches the Rfam family "Bacterial small subunit ribosomal RNA", at positions 338 to 795 of the family's 1533-position model. The record is from RNAcentral.
CCUACGGGUGGCAGCAGUAGGGAAUCUUCGGCAAUGGACGAAAGCCUGAACGAGCGAUGCCGCGUGAGUGAAGAAGGCCUUCGGGUCGUAAAGCUCUGUUGCUGGGGAAAAAAAGCAGCAUCAGGAACUGGAUGCCGACUGAUGGUGCCCCACCAGAAAGCCACGGCUAACUACGUGCCAGCAGCCGCGGUAAUACGUAGGUGGCAAGCGUUAUCCGGAAUGAUUGGGCGUAAAGGGUGCGCAGGCGGUCCUGGAAGUCUGGAGUGAAACGCAUGGGCUCAACUCAUGAAGGGCAUUGGAAACUGGAGGACUGGAGAGCAGAAGAGGGCAGUGGAACUCCAUGUGUAGCGGUAAAAUGCGUAGAUAUAUGGAAGAACACCAGUGGCGAAGGCGGCCGCCUGGCCUGUUGCUGACGCUGAGGCACGAAAGCGUGGGGAGCAAAUAGGAUUAGAUACCCGUGUAGUC